Molecule: long non-coding RNA, 914 nt
Organism: Corticium candelabrum
Lineage: Eukaryota; Metazoa; Porifera; Homoscleromorpha; Homosclerophorida; Plakinidae
Exons: 4
Source: RefSeq, a predicted model, not a curated record
AAAUGACCGGUUUUUGCUCAAGUGACGUGAAUCAGCGUUUGCAUACAGAUACUGCAGAAAGCCUAGGCUGUCUUUUAGGGUAUGACUACACAAUCGGGUAGUGUCGCUAUCUGAAGAAGAUCUCUGGAAAUCUCGAAGGCCUUUGUAGCAUGUGAAACGACACAUUUCUCGUCCUCCCGUUUUGCCGCAUUCUCCGGGUUUUGUGAGGACUUUCGCUGUAAUCCAGUUAUUUGUGCUUACUAGAAUUCAGUUCGUGGGAGAUCCUACCGAUGUACGCCUCGCCGUAAUGGAAGAAUCGAGACCCAAAGACGGCGGAGUCAGCUGCUGGCACUGGGGACAGUCAUACAAGGGAGACUAAUGCAAAUGUUGAAUGGCACAUUUCUUGCACAUUAAAUGGUUGCAUUGGAGUUCAACUGGGAUGUUGACAACUUUUCACACAGGGUGCACUUGAACGAGUCAAACAGGGAUUCUGGUGCUACUGUUUCUAUUUGUUGGAUUAGGUCAGUCAAUUUGAUUGCUGACUGACCUGUGAGAACAAGCUGAUUCUUUUUCAAUUUUUGGGUGGUCUUCCUUAUUUCUUCUGUUGCUGACAACUGCAGCAGGUGUUGCAGUUUUCUGAGUGUACCGUCCACUCUCUGCAGAAAGGUACAAGAAUAGAGGCUCCUUGCCUCUUUGUAAAUCAAUGCAUCACUAGAUGGCAGCGGACACAGAAAUUGACAUUUGUACUGACGUCCUCUCAAUUGAACCUGGGGGCACAUAACCUGCAAAGCUCUCGUACGGAAAGGAUGUGAUGUGCCAUAUCCAUAGACUAGACUGACAACACUUGUAUACUGGUUAACUGUUUCUGUAUACAUCUUAUGUAGUGUAUGGAGUAAGGAAAGGGCAUGAGAGAGUGAUGAGGUAAAGAACUGCUA